GAAGUCUGAAAGACAAUCGCUUAGCUUGCUAAGAGGAAAGUCCGGGCAGCACAGAACACAGUAGUCGUUAACGGCGACCGUUCGAACAUUUAGAAGUGUAGCAAUAUACCGAAAAAAUCUAAGAAUAGGGAAAGUACCACAGAGACAAUACCGCCUUCGGGUAAGGGUGAAAAGUGUGAGGUAAGAGCUCACGGCGCGCUAUGGUGACAUAGGCGAGGGCAAACCCUACUGGCUGCAAGGAGUGCUAGAGAAACCUUUGUUCGAGGAUGCACGCUCACCGCUUGAGUAUUCUGGCAACAGAAUAUCUAGAUAGAUGAUUGUCGGUCUACCUAAAGUCUCUUUCAUUGUGGUUAUCUUGUGGUGAAGGAGUAAAACCGAUCGUAGAUUACAGAACCCGGCUUAUUGAAGACUAAAAAA
Molecule: RNase P RNA, 417 nt
Filed under: Nanosynbacter sp.
Lineage: Bacteria; Bacillati; Minisyncoccota; Nanosynbacteria; Nanosynbacterales; Nanosynbacteraceae
Description: Candidatus Nanosynbacter sp. RNase P RNA component class A
Rfam family: Bacterial RNase P class A
About the family: Ribonuclease P (RNase P) is a ubiquitous endoribonuclease, found in archaea, bacteria and eukarya as well as chloroplasts and mitochondria. Its best characterised activity is the generation of mature 5'-ends of tRNAs by cleaving the 5'-leader elements of precursor-tRNAs.
Source: RNAcentral